This 561-nucleotide ribosomal RNA is filed under the name Triticum aestivum (bread wheat). RNAcentral's name for it is "partial small subunit ribosomal RNA". Lineage: Eukaryota; Viridiplantae; Streptophyta; Magnoliopsida; Poales; Poaceae. The record is from RNAcentral.
AUGGUACUACUUCAGCUAUGUGCAGAUCCAGCUCGGGAUGGCCGCAAAGACACGAAUUUGUUGGUUGAUACCGCAUUGUCGCUGUCUUGGGUUGGAUGUGAGCCUUGCAUCAACGGAUGCCAAGUCCAAUCUUCAACCCCAACGCGUCCUCCGCAACGCCAUCAACGGAUGGUAGGGUGCAGUUCGGCGCUCUGCAACGCCAUCUCUUCAGCCACCGUGUCUUGCAAAAGCUGGAUCAUGCCACUUCAGAUGUGCUCAUACAACCAGACAUUGGUGUCGCCAACGCUGGUGUGGACAUGCCUAGCAUGUGGUGCUUGUAGAGGGAUCGGUUGUUUUAGGGCUGGUCGUCGCUGCUCAGCUCCGUGGACAUCAAUAUGCCACCGCCGGUUUGCCACCCCAUUGUUAAUCAAUGCAUUCAAUGAUAAGAAUUACACACCUAUCUUCUUUCAUAGCCAGAUUGAAAUUUUGGCUUUGUUCGUUUACGAAAACACCUGGCUGAUUUGUUUUGCUCCAAAAUCUCAUAUCAAUAGUUUUGUGCGUACCAAUAAUCAAUAUGAUUGA